CCUACGGGUGGCUGCAGUGGGGAAUAUUGGACAAUGGGCGCAAGCCUGAUCCAGCCAUGCCGCGUGAGUGAAGAAGGCCCUCGGGUUGUAAAGCUCUUUUGUUGGGGAAGAAAAGCAGUUGGUUAAUACCCGAUUGUUCUGACGGUACCCAAAGAAUAAGCACCGGCUAACUUCGUGCCAGCAGCCGCGGUAAUACGAAGGGUGCAAGCGUUACUCGGAAUUACUGGGCGUAAAGCGUGCGUAGGUGGUUGUUUAAGUCUGAUGUGAAAGCCCUGGGCUCAACCUGGGAAUGGCAUUGGAUACUGGAUAGCUAGAGUGCGGUAGAGGGUAGUGGAAUUCCCGGUGUAGCAGUGAAAUGCGUAGAGAUCGGGAGGAACAUCCGUGGCGAAGGCGACUACCUGGGCCAGCACUGACACUGAGGCACGAAAGCGUGGGGAGCAAACAGGAUUAGAUACCCCGGUAGUC
RNAcentral lists this ribosomal RNA (465 nucleotides) under uncultured Lysobacteraceae bacterium. RNAcentral describes it as "bacterial SSU rRNA". It matches the Rfam family "Bacterial small subunit ribosomal RNA", at positions 338 to 795 of the family's 1533-position model. Lineage: Bacteria; Pseudomonadati; Pseudomonadota; Gammaproteobacteria; Lysobacterales; Lysobacteraceae. The record is from RNAcentral.